This 240-nucleotide ribosomal RNA is filed under the name uncultured bacterium. RNAcentral describes it as "partial 16S ribosomal RNA". It matches the Rfam family "Bacterial small subunit ribosomal RNA", at positions 338 to 595 of the family's 1533-position model. The record is from RNAcentral.
CCUACGGGGGGCAGCAGUGGGGAAUAUUGCACAAUGGGGGAAACCCUGAUGCAGCAACGCCGCGUGAGCGAUGGAGUACUUCGGUAUGUAAAGCUCUGUCAGCAGGGAAGAGAAUGACGGUACCUGACCAAGAAGCCCCGGCUAACUACGUGCCAGCAGCCGCGGUAAUACGUAGGGGGCAAGCGUUAUCCGGAUUUACUGGGUGUAAAGGGGGCGCAGACGGCAGCGCAAGCCAGGAGU